Molecule: non-coding RNA, 27 nt
Filed under: Homo sapiens (human)
Lineage: Eukaryota; Metazoa; Chordata; Mammalia; Primates; Hominidae
Source: RNAcentral
AAAGAUGAGAGUCAGUUCCAGCCCUGU